This 1509-nucleotide ribosomal RNA is filed under the name Helicobacter pylori. RNAcentral describes it as "bacterial SSU rRNA". It matches the Rfam family "Bacterial small subunit ribosomal RNA". Lineage: Bacteria; Pseudomonadati; Campylobacterota; Epsilonproteobacteria; Campylobacterales; Helicobacteraceae. The record is from RNAcentral.
UUUAUGGAGAGUUUGAUCCUGGCUCAGAGUGAACGCUGGCGGCGUGCCUAAUACAUGCAAGUCGAACGAUGAAGCUUCUAGCUUGCUAGAAUGCUGAUUAGUGGCGCACGGGUGAGUAACGCAUAGGUCAUGUGCCUCUUAGUUUGGGAUAGCCAUUGGAAACGAUGAUUAAUACCAGAUACUCCCUACGGGGGAAAGAUUUAUCGCUAAGAGAUCAGCCUAUGUCCUAUCAGCUUGUUGGUAAGGUAAUGGCUUACCAAGGCUAUGACGGGUAUCCGGCCUGAGAGGGUGAACGGACACACUGGAACUGAGACACGGUCCAGACUCCUACGGGAGGCAGCAGUAGGGAAUAUUGCUCAAUGGGGGAAACCCUGAAGCAGCAACGCCGCGUGGAGGAUGAAGGUUUUAGGAUUGUAAACUCCUUUUGUUAGAGAAGAUAAUGACGGUAUCUAACGAAUAAGCACCGGCUAACUCCGUGCCAGCAGCCGCGGUAAUACGGAGGGUGCAAGCGUUACUCGGAAUCACUGGGCGUAAAGAGCGCGUAGGCGGGAUAGUCAGUCAGGUGUGAAAUCCUAUGGCUUAACCAUAGAACUGCAUUUGAAACUACUAUUCUAGAGUGUGGGAGAGGUAGGUGGAAUUCUUGGUGUAGGGGUAAAAUCCGUAGAGAUCAAGAGGAAUACUCAUUGCGAAGGCGACCUGCUGGAACAUUACUGACGCUGAUUGCGCGAAAGCGUGGGGAGCAAACAGGAUUAGAUACCCUGGUAGUCCACGCCCUAAACGAUGGAUGCUAGUUGUUGGAGGGCUUAGUCUCUCCAGUAAUGCAGCUAACGCAUUAAGCAUCCCGCCUGGGGAGUACGGUCGCAAGAUUAAAACUCAAAGGAAUAGACGGGGACCCGCACAAGCGGUGGAGCAUGUGGUUUAAUUCGAGGAUACACGAAGAACCUUACCUAGGCUUGACAUUGAGAGAAUCCGCUAGAAAUAGUGGAGUGUCUGGCUUGCCAGACCUUGAAAACAGGUGCUGCACGGCUGUCGUCAGCUCGUGUCGUGAGAUGUUGGGUUAAGUCCCGCAACGAGCGCAACCCCCUUUCUUAGUUGCUAACAGGUCAUGCUGAGAACUCUAAGGAUACUGCCUCCGUAAGGAGGAGGAAGGUGGGGACGACGUCAAGUCAUCAUGGCCCUUACGCCUAGGGCUACACACGUGCUACAAUGGGGUGCACAAAGAGAAGCAAUACUGCGAAGUGGAGCCAAUCUUCAAAACACCUCUCAGUUCGGAUUGUAGGCUGCAACUCGCCUGCAUGAAGCUGGAAUCGCUAGUAAUCGCAAAUCAGCCAUGUUGCGGUGAAUACGUUCCCGGGUCUUGUACUCACCGCCCGUCACACCAUGGGAGUUGUGUUUGCCUUAAGUCAGGAUGCUAAAUUAGCUACUGCCCACGGCACACACAGCGACUGGGGUGAAGUCGUAACAAGGUAACCGUAGGUGAACCUGCGGUUGGAUCACCUCCUUUCUAGA